Molecule: ribosomal RNA, 439 nt
Filed under: uncultured bacterium
Lineage: Bacteria
Description: partial 16S ribosomal RNA
Rfam family: Bacterial small subunit ribosomal RNA
Source: RNAcentral
CUACGGGGUGCUCCAGUGAGGAAUAUUGCACAAUGGGGGGAACCCUGAUGCAGCAACGCCGCGUGGAGGAUGACGCAUUUCGGUGUGUAAACUCCUUUUAUAUGUCAAGAAAAUGACGGUAGCAUAUGAAUAAGCACCGGCUAACUCCGUGCCAGCAGCCGCGGUAAUACGGAGGGUGCAAGCGUUACUCGGAAUCACUGGGCGUAAAGGACGCGUAAGGGGGUUGGAAAGUCAGGUGUGAAAUCCUACAGCGUAACUGUAGAACUGCACUUGAAACUUCUAAUCUAGAGUAUGGGAGGGGGAGAGGGAAUUAGUGGUGUAGGGGUAAAAUCCGUAGAUAUCACUAGGAAUACCUAAAGCGAAGGCGAUCUCCUGGAACAUUACUGACGCUAAGGCGUGAAAGCGUGGGGAGCAAACAGGAUUAGAUACCCUAGUAGUC